RNAcentral lists this ribosomal RNA (253 nucleotides) under uncultured bacterium. RNAcentral's name for it is "partial 16S ribosomal RNA". It matches the Rfam family "Bacterial small subunit ribosomal RNA", at positions 524 to 776 of the family's 1533-position model. The record is from RNAcentral.
UACGUAGGGGGCAAGCGUUGUCCGGAAUCAUUGGGCGUAAAGAGCGCGCAGGCGGUCGUUCAAGUCGAGUGUGAAAGCCCCCGGCUCAACUGGGGAGGGUCAUUCGAUACUGAUCGACUUGAAGGCAGGAGAGGGAAGUGGAAUUCCUGGUGUAGCGGUGAAAUGCGCAGAUAUCAGGAAGAACACCUAUGGCGAAGGCAGCUCUCUGGGACGGUACUGACGCUGAGACGCGAAAGCGUGGGGAGCGAACAGG